RNAcentral lists this ribosomal RNA (207 nucleotides) under uncultured bacterium. RNAcentral describes it as "partial 16S ribosomal RNA". It matches the Rfam family "Bacterial small subunit ribosomal RNA", at positions 568 to 774 of the family's 1533-position model. The record is from RNAcentral.
CGCGUAGGCGGUCAGGUAAGUCGGAUGUGAAAUCCCCGGGCUCAACCUGGGAAUUGCAUUCGAUACUGCUUGGCUAGAGUGUGGAAGAGGGAAGCGGAAUUUCCGGUGUAGCGGUGAAAUGCGUAGAUAUCGGAAGGAACACCAGUGGCGAAGGCGGCUUCCUGGUCCAACACUGACGCUGAGGCGCGAAAGCGUGGGGAGCGAACA